AAACCGUCCCCUAAGUUUUGCAACUGUAGCAGUUUUGGCCCCUAAGGUCAAUUUUUGGUAAAAAAAAUAAAUAAAAAAAUUACAUGUGGCAAAUCACUUAGGGUGCCACAUCACCGUAGACUGAGUCAAAAUUGGCCUUGGAGGCCAAAACUGCCACAGAUGCAAAAUGUAGGGGACGGUUU
This 182-nucleotide microRNA precursor is filed under the name Medicago truncatula (barrel medic). RNAcentral's name for it is "MIR2619 microRNA precursor family". It matches the Rfam family "MIR2619 microRNA precursor family". The record is from Rfam by way of RNAcentral. Lineage: Eukaryota; Viridiplantae; Streptophyta; Magnoliopsida; Fabales; Fabaceae.